AUGGCGGGAGCCAGACAAAAAUCUGAAAAAGAUAUUAGAGACGCCAAAGGACUGGGAAUUGGAAGAAGACCCUCACAAGCAGAAGAGGUGAAUCUUAAGGAUAUUUUGCGUGAAAUUCAGAAACUAGCUGAACAGCAAAUUGAACAUCAGAAAGAAUCACAAUUGAAAUUGGAUAAACAAGCCCUACAACAGAGAGAAAUGUGUCAGGAACUGCUAGAAAUGAAGAAAGAGAUUAAAGAAGAAAUUGGAUUUUUGAAAAGGGAAAUGACAAAAACACAUCAGGAUAUCAAUGAUUUGAAAUCUGAAAAUUUGAAACUUUCCAAAUCACAUUUUAAAUUACAAAAGAAAGUAGAUGGACUAGAAGACAAAAAUGCUAAAAUGGAAAAGUUACAGGAAAAAAUAGAAUUAAAUGAGAAAGAAUUUCAAUUAAGAUUCCGAAAUAUUCAAGAAGAAUCAGGUGAAAAUAUCAGGAGAAUUGUAAUAAAACUGAUUGCAGAUGUUCUACAAAGAGAAGAAUAUGUUGAAAAUGAGAUAGACAAAGUGUACAGAAUCCAAACAAACUUUUCGAGAAGAAAUAGGGCCACAAAGGAUACUAUUAUACACUUUGUGAAGAAAAAAGUCAGAGAUGAAGUUCUGAUAAAUAAUAAUAGAAAUCCAAUGCACUACAAAGAAAAGAAAAUAAUUGUACUAAAAGAAUUCCCCCAAACGAUCUUGAAUAAAAGAAGAAAAUAUUUUUUCCUAACGGACGAACUUAAGAGACUAAAAAUAAGAUUCAGAUGGGAGAGGAACGAAGGUAUAAUGGUGAUGUGGUAUGGAGAGAAACUUUGGCUGACCUCGGAGGAAAAAGCCAAAGAAUUCUACCAGAAGUUAAUGAAAGAGAAAAAAUAUGAAUCGCCGGAAAAGUCUCCUCCCUCAUCAGUUAAAAGAAAAAAACCAAAGAGAGCGAGACAUCAAUCUCCAAAAGAAGUGAAAGGAAACAAAGGGGCAGCUCCUACUACCACCUCAGAUCUAUCAGAUGUAGGAGACGAAGAUGCGGAAGAAGAGAGUGAGAGAGUAGAUGAUGUGGAUUUAAUUACGGAUGAUGAAGAAAAAAUGGAAAAGGAAAGGAAACCACAGGAGGCAAAAGAAAUAGGCGAAUCGACAGAUGGAUAG
RNAcentral lists this long non-coding RNA (1152 nucleotides) under Anolis carolinensis (green anole). RNAcentral's name for it is "lncRNA (ENSACAG00000045460.1)". The record is from RNAcentral. Lineage: Eukaryota; Metazoa; Chordata; Lepidosauria; Squamata; Anolidae.